This 1052-nucleotide long non-coding RNA is filed under the name Mytilus galloprovincialis (Mediterranean mussel). The record is from RNAcentral. Lineage: Eukaryota; Metazoa; Mollusca; Bivalvia; Mytilida; Mytilidae.
GUAAAAGUGAAAAGAAAUCUAUGAAAUUUUAACACAAGGUUUAUGACCACAAAAGGAAGGUUGGGAUUGAUUUUGGGAGUUUUGGUCCCAACAUUUUAGGAAUUAGGGGCCAAAAAGGGCCUAAAUAAGCAUUUUCUUGGUUUUCGCACUAUAACUUUAGUUUAAGUUAAUAGAAACUUAUGAAAUGUUGACACAAGGUUUAUGACCACAAAAGAAAGGUUGGGAUUGAUUUUGGGAGUUUUGGUUCCAACAGUUUAGGAAUUAGGGGCCAAAAAAGGGCCCAAAUAAGCAUUAUUCUUGGUUUUCGCACAAUAACUUUAGUAUAAGUGAAUAGAUAUCUAUAAAAUUUCAACACAAGGUGUAUGACCACAAAAGGAAGGUUGGUAUUGAUUUUUGAAGUUUUGGUCCUAACAGUUUAGGAAUAAGGGGCCCAAAGGGUCCAAAACUAAACUUUGUUUGAUUUCAUCAAAAAUUAAAUAAUUGGGGUUCUUUGAUAUGCUGAAUCUAACUGUGUAUGUAGAUUCUUAAUUUUUGGUCCCGUUUUCAAAUUGGUCUACAUUAAAGUCCAAAGGGUCCAAAAUUAAACUUAGUUUGAUUUUAACAAAAAUUGAAUCCUUGGGGUUCUUUGAUAUGCUGAAUCUGAACGUGUACUUAGAUUAUUGAUUAUUGGUCCAGUUUUCAAGUUGGUCCAGUUUGGGGUCCAAAAUUAAACUUUUUUUGAUUUCAUCAAAAAUUGAAUAAUUGGGGUUCUUUGAUAUGCCAAAUCUAACUGUGUUAGUAGAUUCUUAAUUUUUGGUCCCAUUUUCAAAUUGGACUUCAUUAAGGUCCAAAGGGUCCAAAAUUAAACUAAGUUUGAUUUUAACAAAAAUUAAAUUCUUGGGCUUCUUUGAUAUGCUGAAUCUAAACGUGUACUUAGAUUUUUGAUUAUGGGCCCAGUUUUCAAGUUGGUCCAAACAGGAUUCAAAAUUAUUAUAUUAAGUAUUGUGCAAUAGCAAGAAAUUUUCAAUUGCACAGUAUUCAGCAAUAGCAAGAAAUCUUCAAUUGUACAGUAU